UCGGAUGCGAUCAUACCAGCACUACA
Molecule: ribosomal RNA, 26 nt
Filed under: Saccharum barberi
Lineage: Eukaryota; Viridiplantae; Streptophyta; Magnoliopsida; Poales; Poaceae
Source: RNAcentral